RNAcentral lists this long non-coding RNA (336 nucleotides) under Anser brachyrhynchus (Pink-footed goose). RNAcentral's name for it is "lncRNA (ENSABRG00000011861.1)". The record is from RNAcentral. Lineage: Eukaryota; Metazoa; Chordata; Aves; Anseriformes; Anatidae.
GGAGCCUGCAUGCAGCAGCUGUUAUGGAGGAUCUGGGGCUGAAUGACCAGUUGCCCAGAGGGAGAGAAAGGAGUUGUAUAUGGCCUGGCAAACAAGAAGGAAAAGAAGUGGCAAGUUGUUACUGUCUUGUUGGGAAGAGUUGCAUGGUCCCUGAUCACUUGUUGCAUGACCAGCAAACACCUUGCUGAGAGCUGUAGACCAGGCCAUUUGCUAGAGCAGCUCUGUGAUGCCAGCAACAGCCAUGUAAGGGGUGUAUGCUGGAGGAAAAACUUGGCCUAUGGAGCUGUAUUAGCUGGCAUUUCAAAGGAAAAAAAAUACCCAUCACAAACUGCAUAA